UGGGGAAUAUUGCACAAUGGGGGAAACCCUGAUGCAGCGACGCCGCGUGAACGAAGAAGGUAUUCGUAUCGUAAAGUUCUGUCCUAUGGGAAGAUAAUGACAGUACCAUAGAAGAAAGCUCCGGCUAAAUACGUGCCAGCAGCCGCGGUAAUACGUAUGGAGCGAGCGUUGUCCGGAAUUAUUGGGCGUAAAGGGUACGCAGGCGGUUUAAUAAGUCGAAUGUUAAAGAUCGGGGCUCAACCCCGCAAAGCAUUGGAAACUGAUAAACUUGAGUAGUGGAGAGGAAAGUGGAAUUCCUAGUGUAGUGGAGAAAUAUGUAGAUAUUAGGAGGAAUACCAGUAGCGAAGGCGACUUUCUGGACACAAACUGACGCUGAGGUACGAAAGCGUGGGGAGCAAACAGG
Molecule: ribosomal RNA, 403 nt
Filed under: bacterium
Lineage: Bacteria
Description: partial 16S ribosomal RNA
Rfam family: Bacterial small subunit ribosomal RNA
Source: RNAcentral